RNAcentral lists this ribosomal RNA (406 nucleotides) under uncultured bacterium. RNAcentral's name for it is "partial 16S ribosomal RNA". It matches the Rfam family "Bacterial small subunit ribosomal RNA", at positions 34 to 526 of the family's 1533-position model. The record is from RNAcentral.
AUUUCCCGCUUUCUGCAUUCCUAACACAUGCAAGUCGAACGAGUGGCGGACGGGUGAGUAAUGUCUGGGAAACUGCCCGAUGGAGGGGGAUAACUACUGGAAACGGUAGCUAAUACCGCAUACCAUCGGAUGUGCCCAGAUGGGAGUAGCUUGUAGGUGAUGUCACGGCGCACCUAGGCGACGAUCCCUAGCUGGUCUGAGAGGAUGACCAGCCACAAUGGAACUGGGAAACGGGCCAGACUCCUACGGGAGGCAGCAGGGGGGAAUAUGGCACAAUGGGGGCAAUCCUGAUGCAGCCAUGCCGCGUGUAUGAAGAAGGCCUUCGGGUUGUAAAGUACUUUCAGCGGGGAGGCGUUACCCGCAGAAGAAGCACCGGCUAACUCCGUGCCAGCAGCCGCGGGAAUAC